GCGCGCGUGGUGAAAUUGGUAUACACGUAGCCUUGAGGUGGCUAUGCCCUAACGGGUGUGGAGGUUCAAGUCCUCUCGCGCGCACCA
This 87-nucleotide transfer RNA is filed under the name Candidatus Microsaccharimonas sossegonensis. RNAcentral's name for it is "bacterium AMD02 tRNA-Leu". It matches the Rfam family "tRNA". Rfam says of the family: Transfer RNA (tRNA) molecules are approximately 80 nucleotides in length. Their secondary structure includes four short double-helical elements and three loops (D, anti-codon, and T loops). Lineage: Bacteria; Candidatus Saccharimonadota; Candidatus Saccharimonadia; Saccharimonadales (SeqCode); Saccharimonadaceae (SeqCode). The record is from RNAcentral.